This 253-nucleotide ribosomal RNA is filed under the name uncultured bacterium. Its description in RNAcentral is "partial 16S ribosomal RNA". It matches the Rfam family "Bacterial small subunit ribosomal RNA", at positions 524 to 776 of the family's 1533-position model. The record is from RNAcentral.
UACAGAGGGUGCGAGCGUUAAUCGGAGUUACUGGGCGUAAAGGGCGCGUAGGCGGUUAUAUAAGUGAGAUGUGAAAGGCCUGGGCUUAACCUAGGAACGGCAUCUUAGACUAUAGGACUAGAGUGCAGUAGAGGGUGGCGGAAUUUCCGGUGUAGCGGUGAAAUGCGUAGAGAUCGGAAGGAACACCAGUGGCGAAGGCGGCCACCUGGACUGUCACUGACGCUGAGGCGCGAGAGCGUGGGUAGCAAACAGG